RNAcentral lists this non-coding RNA (52 nucleotides) under Paradevosia tibetensis. RNAcentral describes it as "Youhaiella tibetensis Guanidine-II riboswitch aptamer (mini-ykkC)". It matches the Rfam family "Guanidine-II riboswitch aptamer (mini-ykkC)". From Rfam's summary of the family: Simpler in structure and has fewer highly conserved nucleotide positions than the ykkC-yxkD leader. The record is from Rfam by way of RNAcentral. Lineage: Bacteria; Pseudomonadati; Pseudomonadota; Alphaproteobacteria; Hyphomicrobiales; Devosiaceae. RNAcentral also lists the same sequence under 1 other name.
GCACAGGGACGACCCUGGGCGCGUCGCGCUUUCCCCUGCUGGGACGACCCAG